This 395-nucleotide ribosomal RNA is filed under the name uncultured bacterium. RNAcentral describes it as "bacterial SSU rRNA". It matches the Rfam family "Bacterial small subunit ribosomal RNA", at positions 102 to 509 of the family's 1533-position model. The record is from RNAcentral.
ACGGGUGAGUAAUACGUGAGUAACCUGCCCUUGACUCUGGGAUAAGCCUGGGAAACUGGGUCUAAUACUGGAUACUACCUCUUGCCGCAUGGUGGGUGGUGGAAAGGGUUUUACUGGUUUUGGAUGGGCUCACGGCCUAUCAGCUUGUUGGUGGGGUAAUGGCUCACCAAGGCGACGACGGGUAGCCGGCCUGAGAGGGUGACCGGCCACACUGGGACUGAGACACGGCCCAGACUCCUACGGGAGGCAGCAGUGGGGAAUAUUGCACAAUGGGCGGAAGCCUGAUGCAGCGACGCCGCGUGAGGGAUGACGGCCUUCGGGUUGUAAACCUCUUUCAGUAGGGAAGAAGCGAGAGUGACGGUACCUGCAGAAGAAGCGCCGGCUAACUACGUGCC